RNAcentral lists this microRNA precursor (52 nucleotides) under Oryctolagus cuniculus (rabbit). RNAcentral describes it as "mir-1302 microRNA precursor family". It matches the Rfam family "mir-1302 microRNA precursor family". The record is from Rfam by way of RNAcentral. Lineage: Eukaryota; Metazoa; Chordata; Mammalia; Lagomorpha; Leporidae.
UUUUUAGUACAAGUAUAUCCCAUAUAAGAUUUGGGACAUACUUACACUAAAA